This 379-nucleotide unclassified non-coding RNA is filed under the name Hevea brasiliensis (rubber tree). The record is from RNAcentral. Lineage: Eukaryota; Viridiplantae; Streptophyta; Magnoliopsida; Malpighiales; Euphorbiaceae.
UCUUUGACAAAUCUUUCAUCUUCCUCAGCUUGAAGCACAGGCAAUAUUGCUCGCCGGGCUGCAUAUUUUUCUUCUUUCAGCGCCCUUCGGAUCUUGUUGCCCUUGCCGACCUGAUACAUCCCCCAAGAGAAUGCACCAAAAGCAGUAAGGAAAAUGGCCAUGGCGCUAGGGCCUUUGGUGGGAAUCCGGCGAGCGUAGCGAACCGGAGCGAAUCCACCCGGCGGUGGCCCGUCUUGGAGGAUCGGCAUGUCUUUGACGCUGGCCAUGCCAGGCUUCUUCCGAAUCGCGGCCUCCGUCAUCUCAGAGAGCUUUGCCGACGAUCAAAUAGACGAAUCAAGCAAGAGCUAGGUGUAGUGGAGAAAUGGGAUUUGGGAAUUGG